Molecule: non-coding RNA, 55 nt
Filed under: Candidatus Glomeribacter gigasporarum BEG34
Lineage: Bacteria; Pseudomonadati; Pseudomonadota; Betaproteobacteria; Burkholderiales; Burkholderiaceae
Source: RNAcentral
ACGUCGUGACUGCGUCGAUACUAGCAGGAUUAGGGGAUUUCCCCUGACACGGCGU